This 76-nucleotide small RNA is filed under the name Flavobacterium aquicola. RNAcentral's name for it is "Flavo-1 RNA". It matches the Rfam family "Flavo-1 RNA". Lineage: Bacteria; Pseudomonadati; Bacteroidota; Flavobacteriia; Flavobacteriales; Flavobacteriaceae. The record is from RNAcentral.
UCCUAGCCCUGAUGGAAACGACAUACUUUUGUUCCGGGAUUCGGUACAAAAGAUAUAGUAGGCAGCAGGACACGAG